AAGUUCCUCAGGCUGCUCUUUCCUGUAAGUUACCUGUGCUAACGUUUUAGUGAUUUUUUGGUGUGGUCCUAGCAGUGCUAUACUCUCAGACAGGGUUUCCCAUCUCUCCAUCUCUAGACUGAUGAAAUCACAUC
This is an unclassified non-coding RNA of Fukomys damarensis (Damara mole-rat), 134 nucleotides long. Lineage: Eukaryota; Metazoa; Chordata; Mammalia; Rodentia; Bathyergidae. The record is from Ensembl.